RNAcentral lists this long non-coding RNA (536 nucleotides) under Homo sapiens (human). RNAcentral describes it as "non-protein coding lnc-RTP4-6:3". Lineage: Eukaryota; Metazoa; Chordata; Mammalia; Primates; Hominidae. The record is from RNAcentral.
ACUACAUCCGGCAGCGGGGUGGCCCCUAGCUCCUGCUGCCCCCCCGCCCUUUCUCCCCGCCCGCCCCCGGAGCUCAGCCGAUUUCUGAGGCUCCAACUCUACCCACUCCCUCCCCGGGCCGCCGCCGCCGCGCCUUCCCCCAUUCUUACUCCCUCGAGGAGAGCCACAGGUUGCAAAUCCAACCAACCUCGCAAUCUAUUUUUGCAAAAUCACUCACAAAGAUCUCCCUUUCGCGCCCGCGCCCGCUCCUCCCGCGCCGGGUCCCCUCAGCCACGGCCACAAAGUGCCCUUCUCUCCUCCUGAGUCUUGCACAUAAGGAACGCGGGCUGGGGCUCUGUUCGUCUUUCUCCUCGCCCAAGAUACACAUAGAAAACUUGGAGCCAAAGCAUUUGGCAAGAGCGGAAAAAAAAAGAAUUAAAAGGUAAAAUAAUGAUCAUGAGCAGCGGCGGCGGCAGCGGCACCAGCGGCAACAGCGGCGGCGGCGGCAGUAGCAGCAGCAGCGGCGGCAGCAACAGCAAUAAUCACCUGGUGUCCGG